UACGGAGGGUGCAAGCGUUGUUCGGAAUCAUUGGGCGUAAAGCGCGUGUAGGCGGCUUGGCAAGUCAGUUGUGAAAGCCCGGGGCCCAACCCCGGAACUGCAUCUGAAACUGCCUGGCUAGAGUCCCGGAGAGGAAGGCAGAAUUCCCGGUGUAGGGGUGAAAUCCGUAGAUAUCGGGAGGAACACCGGUGGCGAAGGCGGCUUCCUGGACCGACACUGACGCUGAGGCGCGAAAGCUAGGGGAGCAAACGGG
RNAcentral lists this ribosomal RNA (253 nucleotides) under uncultured bacterium. Its description in RNAcentral is "partial 16S ribosomal RNA". It matches the Rfam family "Bacterial small subunit ribosomal RNA", at positions 524 to 776 of the family's 1533-position model. The record is from RNAcentral.